Molecule: long non-coding RNA, 268 nt
Organism: Formica exsecta
Lineage: Eukaryota; Metazoa; Arthropoda; Insecta; Hymenoptera; Formicidae
Exons: 2
Source: RefSeq, a predicted model, not a curated record
UGCCGGCGAUUUUCGUGGGACGCUUUUUCUAGGCCGUAGAGCAGCGCCGUGCAUCCACUUUUAGGAAUUGGAAACACUUACCCACAUCCACUUUUCGUUCCGACUGACAACGUGUCGGGUUCGGACGUGUUUUUGCGUGCUGCGUAUGUCCUUUGUCUGGACCUUUUUUUGGACUCCCUCCUCUCUUAGAGGAGUUUUGCUUAUAUUCUACAAACCCAUAAGAAACAAUGGUGUAUGGGCGACUAAUGCCCAACCAGCCAUAAAAGAA